Molecule: ribosomal RNA, 253 nt
Filed under: uncultured bacterium
Lineage: Bacteria
Description: partial 16S ribosomal RNA
Rfam family: Bacterial small subunit ribosomal RNA
Source: RNAcentral
UACAGAGGGGGCAAGCGUUGUUCGGAAUUACUGGGCGUAAAGGGCGCGUAGGCGGCCUGUUAAGUCGAACGUGAAAUCCCCGGGCUCAACCCGGGAACUGCGUCCGAAACUGGCAGGCUCGAAUUCGGGAGAGGGAUGCGGAAUUCCAGGUGUAGCGGUGAAAUGCGUAGAUAUCGAGAGGAACACCUGCGGCGAAGGCGGGUUGCUGGGCUGAUACUGACGCUGAGGCGCGAAAGCCAGGGGAGCGAACGGG